CCCUUAGAUGCUCUGGGCCGCACGCGCGCUACACUGGUCGAUGCAACGAGUUUCUUUCCUUGGCCGGCAGGCCUGGGCAAUCUUUGAACAUCGAUCGUGAUCGGGAUAGAUUCUUGUAAUUUUUGAUCUUAAACGAGGAAUUCCUAGUAAACGCAAGUCAUCAGCUUGCAUUGAUUACGUCCCUGCCCUUUGUACACACCGCCCGUCGCACCUACCGAUUGAAUGGUCCGGUGAAAUCUCCGGACUGGCGUGAGUCGGAGCAAUCUGACAAACACCGGAAAGUUGAUUAAACCUUACCAUUUAGAGGAAGGUGAAGUCGUAACA
This 324-nucleotide ribosomal RNA is filed under the name uncultured eukaryote. RNAcentral describes it as "partial 18S ribosomal RNA". It matches the Rfam family "Eukaryotic small subunit ribosomal RNA", at positions 1470 to 1796 of the family's 1831-position model. The record is from RNAcentral.